AGCAGCCGCGGUAAUUCCAGCUCCAAUAGCGUAUAUUAAAGUUGUUGCAGUUAAAAAGCUCGUAGUUGAAUUUCGGGAUCAAUAUAUUGGUCAUGCUUAGGUAUGUACUGGUAUUAUUGAUUUCUCCCUUCUGAAGAACCAUGAUGUCAUUAAUUUGAUGUCGUGGGGAAUCAGGACUGUUACUUUGAAAAAUUAGAGUGUUUAAAGCAGGCUUUCGCUUGAAUACAUUAGCAUGGAAUAAUGAAAUAGGACGUUUGAUUCUAUUUUGUUGGUUUCUAGGAUCGACGUAAUGAUUAAUAGGGAUAGUUGGGGGCAUUAGUAUUCAAUUGUCAGAGGUGAAAUUCUUGGAUUUAUUGAAGACUAACUACUGCGAAAGCAUUUGCCAAGGAUGUUUUCAUUAAUCAAGAACGAAAGUUAGGGGAUCGAAGACGAUCAGAUACCGUCGUAGUCUUAACCAUAAACUAUGCCGACUAGGGAUCGGAUGAUGUUAAUUUUUAAUGA
This 501-nucleotide ribosomal RNA is filed under the name uncultured Glomus. RNAcentral's name for it is "SSU rRNA". It matches the Rfam family "Eukaryotic small subunit ribosomal RNA", at positions 569 to 1074 of the family's 1831-position model. Lineage: Eukaryota; Fungi; Glomeromycota; Glomeromycetes; Glomerales; Glomeraceae. The record is from RNAcentral.